ACGGGGGCAGCAGUGGGGAAUAUUGGACAAUGGGGGAAACCCUGAUCCAGCGACGCCGCGUGAGUGAAGAAGUAUUUCGGUAUGUAAAGCUCUAUCAGCAAGGAAGAAAAUGACGGUACUUGACUAAGAAGCCCCGGCUAACUACGUGCCAGCAGCCGCGGUAAUACGUAGGGGGCAAGCGUUAUCCGGAUUUACUGGGUGUAAAGGGAGCGUAGACGGCAAAGCAAGUCUGAAGUGAAAUCCCGGGGCUCAACCCUGGAACUGCUUUGGAAACUGUUUAGCUAGAGUGCAGGAGAGGUAAGUGGAAUUCCUAGUGUAGCGAUGAAAUGCGUAGAUAUUAGGAGGAACACCAGUGGCGAAGGCGGCUUACUGGACUGUAACUGACGUUGAGGCUCGAAAGCGUGGGGAGCAAACAGGAUUAGAUACCCUGGUA
This 433-nucleotide ribosomal RNA is filed under the name uncultured Clostridium sp. RNAcentral describes it as "partial 16S ribosomal RNA". It matches the Rfam family "Bacterial small subunit ribosomal RNA", at positions 341 to 792 of the family's 1533-position model. The record is from RNAcentral. Lineage: Bacteria; Bacillati; Bacillota; Clostridia; Eubacteriales; Clostridiaceae.